Molecule: ribosomal RNA, 460 nt
Filed under: uncultured bacterium
Lineage: Bacteria
Description: partial 16S ribosomal RNA
Rfam family: Bacterial small subunit ribosomal RNA
Source: RNAcentral
CCUACGGGGGGCUGCAGUGAGGAAUAUUGGUCAAUGGACGGGAGUCUGAACCAGCCAAGUAGCGUGAAGGAUGACUGCCCUAUGGGUUGUAAACUUCUUUUAUAUGGGAAUAAAAUGUUCCACGUGUGGGAUUUUGUAUGUACCAUAUGAAUAAGGAUCGGCUAACUCCGUGCCAGCAGCCGCGGUAAUACGGAGGAUCCGAGCGUUAUCCGGAUUUAUUGGGUUUAAAGGGAGCGUAGGUGGAUUGUUAAGUCAGUUGUGAAAGUUUGCGGCUCAACCGUAAAAUUGCAGUUGAAACUGGCAGUCGUGAGUACAGUAGAGGUGGGCGGAAUUCGUGGUGUAGCGGUGAAAUGCUUAGAUAUCACGAAGAACUCCGAUUGCGAAGGCAGCUCACUGGACUGCAACUGACACUGAGGCUCGAAAGUGUGGGUAUCAAACAGGAUUAGAUACCCCAGUAGUC